GCGAAAGUGGCGGAAUUGGUAGACGCGCUGGAUUUAGGUUCCAGUGGAUAACUCCGUGGGGGUUCGAGUCCCCCCUUUCGCACCA
This 85-nucleotide transfer RNA is filed under the name Acidihalobacter prosperus. Its description in RNAcentral is "tRNA-Leu". It matches the Rfam family "tRNA". Rfam says of the family: Transfer RNA (tRNA) molecules are approximately 80 nucleotides in length. Their secondary structure includes four short double-helical elements and three loops (D, anti-codon, and T loops). Lineage: Bacteria; Pseudomonadati; Pseudomonadota; Gammaproteobacteria; Chromatiales; Ectothiorhodospiraceae. The record is from RNAcentral.